RNAcentral lists this long non-coding RNA (1006 nucleotides) under Equus asinus (donkey). RNAcentral's name for it is "lncRNA (ENSEASG00005036649.1)". Lineage: Eukaryota; Metazoa; Chordata; Mammalia; Perissodactyla; Equidae. The record is from RNAcentral.
GGAGAGGAGGCUCAGGGGGACCGGGGCCAGUCCACUCAGGGCCUGAACAGAGCAACGUGGUACAGGAAGGGAGGGUGGCUGUCCCUGCCUGACUGCCGAGCUGGGACACGGACCUGCUCCUCCCUCCAGGGCUCCUGGUUCUCAGGGCUUCAGACCCACCCUAGAAUCUACACCACAGGCUCUCCUGGGUCUCCAGCUUGCAGACAACAGAUCCUGGGUCUUCCCAUCCUCCAUAAUCACGGAUCCUUCUGCAUCGGCGCUCCUGCUGUGCUGCUGUACCCCCUCCACUUGCUCCUCACACAGGAGGUGGCUCGGUUCUGCUGGGAGCCGGGCAGGUGACGUUGUGCCACGAGAAAGUGCUUUCCCCUGGGGGUCCAGCCAAGGGCCCGGGCGUCAGGGCACACCAGCAGGUGACCUCCUGGGGCCUAGCAAACGCCUCCUAGUUAGUGAGGGGGUUUGUUUUCUCCAGAGUCAGUGCACCAGGAUGAUCAGCUUUGCGAAGGAACAGAUCAGAUACGGUGUCGUAUCAAAUGGCCUCCAGGAGGGGGAGCAGCAACUCCUGCAGCCCUGAAACCCGUCCUCCAGCCAAGGGCACGAUGUUUCUCAGAGGUGUCCCAUACAACCACCUCCACCCCCACCACCCCCAUGAUCACCAUCACUGCCAACAGCACCGCCAACCACUGCUGCCUCCACAACCUCAGCCACCGCCGACAUCAUACCCUCUACAGCCUCCAUGUAGCCACUGCCUCCAACAUCAUCACCAAUACUACCAUCAUCACCUCCACCACCUUCUCAAAAAGAGAAAAAGAAGAACAAAUACAGCUAAUAUAUGGCCCUAAAUGUUAAGGGCUGAGAAGUGCUAUGGGAAAGACGAACAAGACAGAGCACGCAGGAGCCCUUAGGCAUAUGGGGUGAUGCCAAGUUGCCAUUGUAAACAGGCUAUUGGAGUGUGUCUAAUUAAGAUGGUAUUUGCCCAAAGACUGGAAGUAGGAAUAAAUUAGCCAAG